CAAACAGCCUGGCGGAUGCUUUACACAUGCAAGUCGAGCGGCAGCGCGGGGGCAACCCUGGCGGCGAGCGGCGAACGGGUGAGUAACACAUCGGAACGUACCCAGUUGUGGGGGAUAGCCCGGCGAAAGCCGGAUUAAUACCGCAUACGACCUGAGGGUGAAAGUGGGGGAUCGCAAGACCUCACGCAGUUGGAGCGGCCGAUGGCGGAUUAGCUAGUUGGUGGGGUAAAGGCCUACCAAGGCGACGAUCCGUAGCUGGUCUGAGAGGACGACCAGCCACACUGGAACUGAGACACGGUCCAGACUCCUACGGGAGGCAGCAGUGGGGAAUUUUGGACAAUGGGGGCAACCCUGAUCCAGCCAUUCCGCGUGAGUGAAGAAGGCCUUCGGGUUGUAAAGCUCUUUCGGCAGGAACGAAACGGUGGUUACUAAUAAUAGCCACUAAUGACGGUACCUGAAGAAGAAGCACCGGCUAACUACGUGCCAGCAGCCGCGGUAAUACGUAGGGUGCGAGCGUUAAUCGGAAUUACUGGGCGUAAAGCGUGCGCAGGUGGUUUUGUAAGACAGAUGUGAAAUCCCCGGGCUUAACCUGGGAACUGCGUUUGUGACUGCAAGACUGGAGUGUGGCAGAGGGGGGUGGAAUUCCACGUGUAGCAGUGAAAUGCGUAGAGAUGUGGAGGAACACCGAUGGCGAAGGCAGCCCCCUGGGUUAACACUGACGCUCAUGCACGAAAGCGUGGGUAGCAAACAGGAUUAGAUACCCUGGUAGU
This 770-nucleotide ribosomal RNA is filed under the name uncultured bacterium. RNAcentral describes it as "bacterial SSU rRNA". It matches the Rfam family "Bacterial small subunit ribosomal RNA", at positions 30 to 794 of the family's 1533-position model. The record is from RNAcentral.